UCAUCUAUUAUAGAUCCAACUGAAGAACCUGGAAGCAACAGAACAGCCUGCAUCUUAGAUCUACAGUGAGGACAACUUGAGGUGUGAGCCCAGACCACAAGGAAACCAGCACAGGAAAUCUGAUAACUGGCAGGAUGCAUUAGUCUGGAUUUGGAGACCCUAAAGCAAUAAGGUCAACCCAGCUGUCGUCAGGUGGUAUACACACAUCACAUGCAGCAUCUUGCUUGUCUGGUCACAACUGCAGCCCUGGUCUCCAGCAUAGCCAGACUCUCUAUGGAGCAGGAUGUAGUAUCCUAGUAAUACUCAACUGUUGAGUGGAUUUAAAAAAAACUCCAACAAAACCUGGCCUGCAGAUCACUGAAAACUGGCAGAGUAUUCCAAGAAAAUACCACGGGAGCAGUUCCAGGCAUUGAUGUCCAUGGUCAUGGGAGGCAGGAUUCAAACCAGGGACUUUUCUAAUUAGCUUCCCCUGGACUUGAUGUUCUCUAAAUCCAAAGUGCAGGUGAGGGAUAAAUGGAUGAAGGAGUUUCCAACUGAAGGAUGACCCAAAGGUUGCAAUUUCAUAAAAGCCAGCAUUAAAGGAAGCUGCUGGCUUUGGUCAGUAUACUUAGCAAGAUUUGGAGAACAUUUCCAAAAGCAGUGGUCAAUCUUUCUGCCAGAGCAUCACUUUGAGCUCUGACAGAGAAGAAAAAGCUACUUUUUUUUUUUUCCCUUUGACGAACAACUUUCUCCAGGCCACUUUGACCCAAAAAUCACUUCCCCUGGAGAAUUCAGAGUACCAGACCUGUGGGGUCCCCUCUUGAUGAAAAGAUCCUUCACUGUUGGUUGUUUUUUGUUUGGUUGUUGUUGUUUUGUUUUUCUUUCUGCUGGCAGCAGGAAGUAAAUGUAUUCUAUAUAAAGCUGGAAGGUCUUACAGUAGCUAGUGGUUGGAGUAAUAUCUGGACAUCCCUUUCACAGUGGCCUGUGCAACACCGUAAAUUUUGUGGACCUUCAACAAGUACCAUGGAAAGGAUUGUGCCUUAGGUGUCAGGGACAUGAGAACCAUUUUAAAAGUCUGCUUUGUUCCCAGUUAGAUUCUAAUGGAAGUAGAAAAGCUCCCAGAUGUAAAGGGAUAAUUGUGAACCCGUGUGUUCUGGAGCAGAUGUACACAGGAGGAGCGCAGCAAGGACUUAUUCACAGAGGUGCACAGAUUUAUCCACAGGGUCAUAGUCUUUGAUGAGUCAUAUACAUCUUCCUUUUCAUAAAUGCUUCAGUGGGACUAUUCACAUGAGGAAAGAUAAUACAAAGAUUUGCCUAUAUAUGCAUGGCAGACAGAAACACAAUGUGCAGCUGGAGAGUGAUAAGGGAAAUUGAUUUCUUUUUCCUUUUCCUUUUCACUUUAUUUCUCCUGAGUGGCAGCAGCAGUUCUGUUCAUCAAUUACAUUGCCUCCUUCUCCUAUACAGGAGCAAAUUUUCCAACAAGCUCAAGCCUACUACAUGUAGAUAUACUGAAUAAUCCGCCUCUUAAAAAAAAAAACAAACAAACAGACUUUUCACAAAAAUCUGCUUUAUGUUCUUCAAGUUAUUGAAUAUUUUCAAUUUUUCUUUAUACUCUUCACAAACCUAUAGGACUAAGAACAUUGCUCUGUUGUGCAACUGUCCUAAUCAGCAGGUGAUUUGGAGAGAUACAUGCCACCUAAACAAGGCUUUUAUGUGCUAGAUAUAGUAUUAAACACUUAACCACCCAUAAGAUUUCUGUGCAGUCUCUGCUUGUGUUUAGGUUGCAGAUGAGGCAAUGUCAACACAAGCAUGAUAAAUUGGAGGUUUCUUCUGCAGAGUGCUUGCACAUACACAAGCAAACACUUCAUUAGCAAGACGCUAAACAAAACAAAACCCACAGCAGUCCC
This is a long non-coding RNA of Pezoporus occidentalis (night parrot), 1886 nucleotides long. RefSeq lists it as uncharacterized. The record is from RefSeq and is a predicted model, not a curated record. Lineage: Eukaryota; Metazoa; Chordata; Aves; Psittaciformes; Psittacidae. The transcript is spliced from 4 exons.